ACUACUAAAAAAAUAAACUUUAAUAAUGAUUUUAUCAAAAUGGUCAUUAAAAUCGUUAAUUCAAAGAUGAUUUUAGAAAAUUGUAUUUGAAAGUCAAGUGUUUUGAUUUUGUUUACCCACUUAUACUCAUAAGGACGUUUCUCUUUCCUGUUUCUUUGUGCGUCUUUGCCUAGCCAAGACCAUCACAACUCUUCCCCACCAGUCAUCAGCACCGUUUCAGGGCUUUUUUCUUUUCCAUUUCAACGUCGACAACUAAGUUUUCAGCACCCAAAGCCCAUGCAUCUUGGAAAUCUAAGGUGUAGAGGAAUAAAUUGGCCACUGCUGGUGAAGCAGUUGAGUAUAGAAGCCUUAUACGUGCCGCUGAUGGGAAAAAGACUAAUUUCUACUUUGAUAUGUAUCUUGAGCUUGCUAUUUUCAAGUUUGCUUUUAAUUAGAACUUAUUGUUCAUGCUUUGUCUUUUACUAGUAUACAUAUAUUAGAGAUAGAGAUUAUCUCUUCUGAUAAGUUAGGAAUUAAGUUCCUAAUCUGUUUCAAUUCUGACAUGCAACUUUUCUAUUCUGUUUCUAAUGGUUAAGAGCACUUGAUUAGAAUAGGCUAAUUUCAGCAAAGUAGAAUAAGUGAAAAGGAGAGAAUUGAAGACAUGAUACUUGGGUUUAGUCA
This is a long non-coding RNA of Glycine soja, 660 nucleotides long. RefSeq lists it as uncharacterized. The record is from RefSeq and is a predicted model, not a curated record. The transcript has 3 exons. Lineage: Eukaryota; Viridiplantae; Streptophyta; Magnoliopsida; Fabales; Fabaceae.